This 194-nucleotide ribosomal RNA is filed under the name uncultured Halomonas sp. RNAcentral describes it as "partial 16S ribosomal RNA". It matches the Rfam family "Bacterial small subunit ribosomal RNA", at positions 338 to 524 of the family's 1533-position model. The record is from RNAcentral. Lineage: Bacteria; Pseudomonadati; Pseudomonadota; Gammaproteobacteria; Oceanospirillales; Halomonadaceae.
CCUACGGGAGGCAGCAGUGGGGAAUAUUGGACAAUGGGCGAAAGCCUGAUCCAGCCAUGCCGCGUGUGUGAAGAAGGCCUUCGGGUUGUAAAGCACUUUCAGUGAGGAAGAAAGCCUUGAGGUUAAUACCCUCGAGGGAGGACAUCACUCACAGAAGAAGCACCGGCUAACUCCGUGCCAGCAGCCGCGGUAAU